CGGUGGACUUCAUUUCCCGAGUAAACCAUCGUCGAAAGACAUGCGGUGGCCAUCUGCAACUCGUAAAUAUACUUCCGCCUGCAGGGCUGCAGAAAGCUUGUCUGCAGAAGCAGGAAGUCCCCAGAUGGAGGCGCUGUUGACAUGAAGACAGUCAGACCUCAGAAGUAGAAACUGAAGGGACGGACCGGGAUUCGAACCCGGAAGCUCCGUGUUCCGAGCUUCGGACAAUACCUUUACGCCACCGUCGUGUUAGCGGUUGCGCGGCUGCAGAAGUGGCCUGAUGAUGAGACAACCCACGUAUAAGCGAAACAAAGACAAAGGGGGGUUCGAACCCCCAACCUCUGCGUCCGUAGGCAAAGACAAUACCGUUGCGCCACCUUCUCUUCUGUGAAUCGGCCGGCUCUUCUAUGGGUAGAAGAAGAUGACGCAACAGAACUAUUUCCCAAAAAAAAAA
This is a long non-coding RNA of Anguilla anguilla (European eel), 454 nucleotides long. RefSeq lists it as uncharacterized. Lineage: Eukaryota; Metazoa; Chordata; Actinopteri; Anguilliformes; Anguillidae. The transcript has 3 exons. The record is from RefSeq and is a predicted model, not a curated record.